Molecule: long non-coding RNA, 1636 nt
Organism: Triticum aestivum (bread wheat)
Lineage: Eukaryota; Viridiplantae; Streptophyta; Magnoliopsida; Poales; Poaceae
Exons: 5
Source: RefSeq, a predicted model, not a curated record
CCCAUCGAUCGCGAAGGCAUCCCCGCUACUUUUUUCCGCUUCUUCGACGUUCGUCGAUUCGUCCCCACCCGCACAGCCAUACGUGGACCAAGCCCUGCAAAAGAACGAGAUCCAACCCACGUCUCUCUAUCAACAAAAGCACGACACGCUAGGGUUAGCAGCCGCCAGCCACGCCCGCCCCUCGAUCGGCUCCUCCCGAGGCGCCAUCGUGCUCUCGCGCACGGCGCUGGCCGCUGUCCUCAAUGCCCCCUCGCACUUCGCAUCUGCUGCCUCAUCCUCCGACCUCCGUCGUCGUGCAGCACAUCGUUGCCAUGGACUCGAACUUCUGAUGCUACGGGGAAGCCGGAUCGGAUCCCACCCCGAGGGCUCGACCUGAGGCUGCGGUGGGUUGUAGAACUCCCCGGCGACAAGCUCAACGGCCUUGUACUUCGCCCGCACAAGCACCAUUGGGUCGACGUCGCUGCCAGUGGCUGCGGCCAUGCAUUUCGAAAUUCCAUGGCAUGAUGCAUAUAAAUUGGAUCAGUAUGUGGGUUCAGAAGAUGAUUUUUUUUCUAUGCUUCCCCUAUGAUUCAUGAAGCUCCAAGCGAGCAAGAAGUUUCAGUCCACCUUUACUCAUGGCCUCCCCUUCUCGUCUGGUGGACGGCCUUGGCAAUCUGAACAAGCUUUACGCGACUGGCGCUCUUGUUGAUUCCUUAUGAGUCAUUUAAGCUGUUUUUGCACAAGGUUGAGAUAGUUGGGGCAUGUAACUGUGUUUUGAUCCCACGAAUGUCAUUUUGCACUGAAGGCUUGUAACCAUUGGGAAAUGUUUGCUUGCUCUGAUGUAUCAAGUUGCCAUGGGGGUGAUCUAGAGGUCUCUUCCUUGUCCGAAGUGUCGUACCGAAUCAAGACAUGUUCAUUUAAUUUACCUGUCAUGUAAAUGACACAACAUGAUUCACUUGUGUAUAGUGUAAAAAUAUAUUUAUUUAUGGCACACAGGUGUUCAAAUUAUAGUUGUAAAACGUGUAUAGUGUAAAAAUAUAAUUAUUAAGGGAAGUGACAUCACAAUGGUCGUGCCUGGUCUUCUCCGAGUCUCUGCUUGUGGUUUGUGUUCUUUAGAUCUGUUCAUGCCCUGAUAUUGCUCUCUGAUUUCAUCUUCUCUGGACUAAUUAGGGCUUUGCUUUUGUUUGCACCAAUUCGAGAUAAUGGUCAUGACAUGCAGCAGCCAAGACAACAAGGUCAAGCCCAGGCUUAGGCCUGAUGAUGAACACAAUUAGAUGCAGGUAGUUCCUUGCAUCCUCAUGUUAGAACUACUUUUUUUACGCUCUUGCUUCUGCAGAUUUCUAAGAAUUUGACUCAUUUUUCGGUCAUUUUGUGCAUUUGUAGUUCACAUAUAUCUAAGUUCCUUUGAUGUGUGUUUCAAAUAAACAAGAGCUCUUGGCAAUGAGAUUUUUUGACCGAACAUAUCAUUUUAACCACAAAUAGAAUACAAAUAAUUGUGAUAUAAACCUAAUUGAUACACCAUUUGAUACAUGUGUUUACAAAAUAGAUCUGAGCAAUUAUUUGUAGUAGUUAUAUUGAUUAGCUGCCUACUUACCUUUUAAGUUCUUUGUGAAUCAAUGUAAUUUUAUUUCGACAAAGUUUGAGAAAAAAAUAUGAC